AGUGAACGCUGGCGGUAGGCCUAACACAUGCAAGUCGAACGGCAGCACAGUAAGAGCUUGCUCUUACGGGUGGCGAGUGGAGGACGGGUGAGGAAUACAUCGGAAUCUACUUUUUCGUGGGGGAUAACGUAGGGAAACUUACGCUAAUACCGCAUACGACCUACGGGUGAAAGCAGGGGAUCUUCGGACCUUGCGCGAUUGAAUGAGCCGAUGUCGGAUUAGCUAGUUGGCGGGGUAAAGGCCCACCAAGGCGACGAUCCGUAGCUGGUCUGAGAGGAUGAUCAGCCACACUGGAACUGAGACACGGUCCAGACUCCUACGGGAGGCAGCAGUGGGGAAUAUUGGACAAUGGGCGCAAGCCUGAUCCAGCCAUACCGCGUGUGUGAAGAAGGCCUUCGGGUUGUAAAGCCCUUUUGUUGGGAAAGAAAAGCAGCAGGUUAAUACCCCGCUGUUCUGACGGUACCCAAAGAAUAAGCACCGGCUAACUUCGUG
Molecule: ribosomal RNA, 492 nt
Filed under: uncultured bacterium
Lineage: Bacteria
Description: partial 16S ribosomal RNA
Rfam family: Bacterial small subunit ribosomal RNA
Source: RNAcentral